Molecule: long non-coding RNA, 1228 nt
Filed under: Coturnix japonica (Japanese quail)
Lineage: Eukaryota; Metazoa; Chordata; Aves; Galliformes; Phasianidae
Description: lncRNA (ENSCJPG00005009547.1)
Source: RNAcentral
CACCCUUCCAUCAGCUGGGGUUAGGUUGCUGCAUUUUCCAGGCAAUGGAUUAAAAAAUGAGAUUGAAAAAUGAGUUUAGCAUAUGACUGUCAUGCAUCAUUUAUUUUAUUUUUUUUUCUUUUAAAAGCUAACUGGAAGGUCCAUCUACAGGUUGUUGCCUUGCGUAUCAGAGAAAUGGAAUUUAAAUUACCAUAAGAGCAGUUAAUAAUCCCUGUGUACUCAAGACCUCUGUUUUUCAUGGGAUAUGAAGAGCGGAUAAUUGGAAUUUCUGCAGACAUCAGAAGAGAUUUUAAGUGUAAAGACAAGAUUGUUGUGCGUGGAAACACACAGCCCUAGAACCAGCCAUUGUGCCUUUCUGGGAGGAGAUUCUUCAGGACUUGCUUGAAAUCAUCUUGCUUGGAUUUGCAGGGCGUGUAUCUCCUGAAACAACUACAGCUUGAUUGAUAUUCUCUCCAAAAAGGAAAGAUUAUUCAUACCAUGUAGUGACACAAGGGCUCUGAAUGACAACAUUACUCAAGCGCUGCACUUCAGCUGCUUCACUGAGUGCUAUAGGACUUUCUGUCUAUUGGAUCACUGGACAUGUAAAAAUUACUUCGACAUUUGCUUUUGCCAGCAGAGGAGUCCAUUAAAUACAAUGAAUCUCUUUGCUCAUGUUAGGAAGAGGAUGAUAGAGAAGAUGACCCUUUCUAAAGGUAAGACACAAUUUAAGUAAUUUUAUAUUUUGUUGCAAAGUUUGCAUGCAAAACAAGAUGUGAGCUCUUCAUGUGAGCUUGUUUUUCUUCUUUUGGCUUAUUUUGAGUAGGUUUUUAACCAAUGGGGAUAAUGACCUUCAAAACAUAAAUUAUACAACCAAGACCUCAAAUGUGAUGGGAACUGCCAUUUGUUUUUUCCUUUCUAAAUAACUGCUUAUUUUCAAGUGAUCAUCACAACACACCCUAGGAAAACUUGUGUUACUGUAAACCCUGGAAGGAAUACAGCAGUGGACUGCUUACCUUAGUGAUGAUUUUUUAUUGUUGGUGUCAUCCAGGCAUUCAGGUGGGCAGUACUAAAUACUAAAGCAUUUAUGCGCUUUUACUUUGAGUCAUUAGGACAGACUCUGGAAAACAGAAAGCAAAUGCUAAACAGUUGCACUCUGUCAUGAGUCAAUUUCAGUUCUCAGCAUUAAACUUUAGAAAGAAUUUUUUUUCUUUUGAUUUCUUCUGGCUUUUGUAGGCAUAUUUAUUGUGUG